Molecule: ribosomal RNA, 253 nt
Filed under: uncultured prokaryote
Description: partial 16S ribosomal RNA
Rfam family: Bacterial small subunit ribosomal RNA
Source: RNAcentral
UACGUAGGGGGCCAGCGUUGCUCGGAAUUACUGGGCGUAAAGGGUUCGUAGGUGGUGCGGCAAGUUGGGAGUGAAAUCUCUGGGCUUAACUCAGAGGCUGCUUUCAAAACUGCCGUGCUCGAGUGCGAGAGAGGCCAGUGGAAUUGCAGGUGUAGCGGUGAAAUGCGUAGAUAUCAGGAGGAACAUCGAUGGCGAAGGCAGCCCCUUGGACCUGUACUGACGCUCAUGCACGAAAGCGUGGGGAGCAAACAGG